CAAGGGCCCUGUCCAUUCCCAUAUCAAGAUGAAUAUUAUUUCCUUCGGCCAGGCCAUGUCGUUAUGGAAGAUACCUGGUCUUUCAGACUUCCUGAGAUUUACACAUCUACCACUUUCCUUGACAUAUACUUAUGAUCUGCUAUGCAGACUGGCUGAAUGUCAUUCCCAUCCCUGGACUCCUUCCUUCUCCUUUCCUUUCGGAGCAACCCAGGGCACAGAUGGAUACAGAGGCUGUGGUGUUUUCAAGGUUGCAGCAUGUUCCAAGACUAUGGCUUCAUGAAGGAACAGAAAAACCUCCUUAGGGACUCCAGGAAGAGCAGGGAAGGCUUGUGGAUGCAGUAACUUUCCUUGAAGACCGCCUGCUUUGGAUCCCACGUGAAAAUACCAUUAAGCCUUCAGAGAAGGGGCUUGGGGAUGGCAAUCAAUUUGGGACUCAUUUACGGCUGUUGCAGAGCUUUGAAGGGCUCAUUGCUCCCUCCACCAUUACUGAAUAGGCAAGACAGGGGGAAAUACUAUCUGUGUCAUUCCUUCUUUAUUAAAUAAAAUACAAAUAGGAAGCA
RNAcentral lists this long non-coding RNA (560 nucleotides) under Anser cygnoides (Swan goose). Its description in RNAcentral is "lncRNA (ENSACDG00005005583.1)". The record is from RNAcentral. Lineage: Eukaryota; Metazoa; Chordata; Aves; Anseriformes; Anatidae.